Molecule: non-coding RNA, 147 nt
Organism: Pseudomonadales bacterium
Lineage: Bacteria; Pseudomonadati; Pseudomonadota; Gammaproteobacteria; Pseudomonadales
Source: Rfam
UUCGAUAGAAAUCUACCCAGGCCUUCGUUGCAACGACGAGGGCACGAGGUAGAACCGCCACGCCGGCAGCGGCUUUCUCCUCCUGGCAGAUCUUUCUGCCUGACCUCGCGACGAGGUCGCCGAGGUCUAAGGGACAUAACAGUCAAC